This 523-nucleotide ribosomal RNA is filed under the name Trichocladium griseum. RNAcentral's name for it is "SSU rRNA". It matches the Rfam family "Eukaryotic small subunit ribosomal RNA", at positions 616 to 1146 of the family's 1831-position model. The record is from RNAcentral. Lineage: Eukaryota; Fungi; Ascomycota; Sordariomycetes; Sordariales; Chaetomiaceae.
AGGUUAAAAAGCUCGUAGUUGAACCUUGGGCCUAGCCGGCCGGUCCGCCUCACCGCGUGCACUGGCUCGGCUGGGUCUUUCCUUCUGGAGAACCGCGUGCCCUUCACUGGGUGUCGUGGGGAACCAGGACUUUUACUCUGAAUAAAUUAGAUCGCUUAAAGAAGGCUCUUGCUUGAAUACAUAGCAUGGAAUAAUAGAAUAGGACGUGUGGUUCUAUUUUGUUGGUUUCUAGGACCGCCGUAAUGAUUAAUAGGGACAGUCGGGGGCAUCAGUAUUCAAUUGUCAGAGGUGAAAUUCUUGGAUUUAUUGAAGACUAACUACUGCGAAAGCAUUUGCCAAGGAUGUUUUCAUUAAUCAGGAACGAAAGUUAGGGGAUCGAAGACGAUCAGAUACCGUCGUAGUCUUAACCAUAAACUAUGCCGAUUAGGGAUCGGACGGUGUUAUUUUUUGACCCGUUCGGCACCUUACGAUAAAUCAAAAUGUUUGGGCUCCUGGGGGAGUAUGGUCGCAAGGCUGAAACUUA